UUUUAUUAGGAAUCUUCAACA
This 21-nucleotide non-coding RNA is filed under the name Caenorhabditis elegans. Lineage: Eukaryota; Metazoa; Nematoda; Chromadorea; Rhabditida; Rhabditidae. The record is from RNAcentral.